This 253-nucleotide ribosomal RNA is filed under the name uncultured bacterium. RNAcentral's name for it is "partial 16S ribosomal RNA". It matches the Rfam family "Bacterial small subunit ribosomal RNA", at positions 524 to 776 of the family's 1533-position model. The record is from RNAcentral.
UACGUAGGGGGCGAGCGUUGUCCGGAUUUAUUGGGCGUAAAGCGCGUGUAGGCGGCCUGGAAGGUCCGUUGUGAAAACUCGAGGCUUAACCUCGAGACGUCGAUGGAAACCGCCAGGCUAGAGUCCGGAAGAGGAGAGUGGAAUUCCCGGUGUAGCGGUGAAAUGCGCAGAUAUCGGGAAGAACACCCGUGGCGAAGGCGGCUCUCUGGGACGGUACUGACGCUGAGACGCGAAAGCGUGGGGAGCGAACAGG